UACUAAUGCAACUGCGAAUAGCUGUUUAAUACAGUCGCAAUUGUAUUGACUUAGCAUAUAGAAAUAUAGUUAGUUAUAUUUGGAUAACUAAGGGAAAGUUUGGCUAAUACGUUUAUAUAAUACGUAAAUAUAAUAUUUAUAGCAUAUUAUGAUAUCAUUGCAACAUGAUUGACAUAAUAUAAAUAUAUAAUACAUUUAUUUGUAUUAAUAUUUUGCAGACUUUAUAGUAAUUAUAACUUAUAAAGCAUGUCAAACAAGCAUCUAUAGCAUCAAGUCACAAUGUUGGCAUGUGUAUUAUUGAACCUUCAAAGCAUUUACGCAUUCGGAGGAGUAGUUUCUGAUCCCGUCGAAGGUGCCUGAGAGACGGCACUUAGUUCUAAGGAACGCAGCAGGCGCGUAAAUUGCCCAAUGACAAAACAUGUAAUUAAUAUAUAUAAUAUAUACCUUGUAUACUGUAUUGAGGCAGUGACAAGCUGUAAAGAUUCAAUAUAUUAAUUAAGAUAACAUUUGGAAUUGUCNCUUUGUAUAAUUUAUUAUACAUUGCUUGAUAAUAUACCAAUGUUAUAAAAUAUUGAAUUUGAAUGCGGUGAUUUUAAUAAUUUCAAGUAACAUGUAUAAAAUAGUAAUAUUUUAUAUGUUAUCUGAAUUUUCAAGUGGAGGGCAAGUCUGGUGCCAGCAGCCGCGGUAAUACCAGCUCCACUAGCCUAUACAAUCAUUGUUGCGGUUAAGAGGCUCGUAGUUGGAUUGAAUAAUUAUACAUAUUAUAUACAAUACUGUGAACAAACCAGAGUGUAUAAAACAUGUAAUAUUAUAAUUAUUAGCAAUGAAUGUUUUAUCAUGGGAUAUUGCAAUAUAAUUAUAAAUAUUAUUGUUAGUUAGUUAUAUCGAUGGAGAUAGUUGGAGUUGAGAGUACUGAUAGGCGAGCGGUGAAAUGCAUUGACCCUAUUAAGACUAACAAAAGCGUAAGCNCUUAACUAGAUUAUACUCUUUGUAUAUAUAUAACAAUGAAGAGCGAAGGUUGGGGGAACAAAGAGGAUCAGAUACCCUCGUAGUCCUAUUUUUACAUCAAACUAUGGGAUUUCAAUUGAAUAUGUGAUACAUAUAAUAUAAUAUUCCCUUCAACUUAUAUUAUACAUGUAUAGUUGAGUACUUAAUUUGUACUCCUAUAUAUAUUAUAAAUUGAAUAUUUAUUAAUUAUAAUCAUAAAUGAUUAUAUGUACUUUGCGCUCAUAUUAUUUAAAAGGUGAGAUGUAAGCAUUAUAGGAGAGUAAUAUACUUAUAUCAUAUUAUAUGUGUAUAAUGUAUUAUUAUAAUCCUUAAUUAAUAAACGUAAUGNGAUGCACGUUUUAGGUACGAGCUUACUAUAGAAAUAUUUAAAAUAAUACCCUCCUGGGGUAGUAUGCACGCAAGUGUGAAACUUGAAGGNNNNNNNNNAAGGGCACCACAAGAACGCGUGGAGCAUGUGGCUUAAUUUGACUCAACGCGGGAAAUCUUACCAGGUCCGGACAUAUUGAGGAUUGACAGGCGAUAGUAAUAUUAUUAUAUAAUAUUGCAUAAAAAUGAUAGUCCUUUCAUGAUUAUAUGAUAGGUGGUGCAUGGCCGUUCUUAGUUCGUGGAGUGAUUUGUCUGCUUAAUUGCGUUUCAGAUAUAUAAUUAUAUAAUAUAUUAUAUAGUAAUAUAUAAUUUAAUAUUGUGCUGCCUUAUAUAUUAUUUAUAAGGAUUUUAAGUGAACAUAUUUUAUUAUACAUAUAUUAUUAUAUAUAUUUAUUAUAUAUUAAAAUGAAUGCAACGAACGUGACCGUAACCUUUUAUUGCUAUAAAUAAUAUAUAUUAUUUAUAUUAUAAUAUAGCAUAAAAUUAAAGGGACCGCUGUCUAAAUUUUAGUGUUAAAAUAGAGUAAGAUUACGGCAAUAACAGGUCUGUGAUGCCCUCAGAUGUUCUGGGCUGCACACGUGCUACAAUAAUUACAUUAAUAAGUAUCUAUUAUAAUACAUAAUAUGUUUACAUAUUAUAAUAAACCUAUUUCGAAAGUAAAUGGGUAAUCAUUUAAAAAUCGUGAUUAUUCAUACAUAUAUGGUAUAUUAAUAUUGUAUAAUACUAUACAUUUUAUAGUACUAUUACAAAUACCAUUAAUUAAUUUAAGGUGGGGAUAGUGUAUUGUUAAUUAUUACACUUGGCCUUAACUAGGAAUGCCUUGUACUCUUCUUUGGUUUAACAUACCAAGAGGAAUACGUCCCUGCCCUUUGUACACACCGCCCGUCGCUCUUACCGAUGAAUUAUAUUAUAAAUCUAAGGGACAUACAUAUCCUGAAAUUGAAUAUAUUGAAACUUAUAUACAUAAUGUGAUUUAAAGGAAAGAGAAGUCGUAACAAGGCAUCAGUAGGUGAACCU
RNAcentral lists this ribosomal RNA (2391 nucleotides) under Peneroplis pertusus. Its description in RNAcentral is "SSU rRNA". It matches the Rfam family "Eukaryotic small subunit ribosomal RNA". Lineage: Eukaryota; Foraminifera; Miliolida; Peneroplidae. The record is from RNAcentral.